AACGAACGCUGGCGGCGCGCCUAAUACAUGCAAGUCGAGCGAGAAGACGUAGCAAUACGUUUGUAAAGCGGCGAACGGGUGAGGAACACAUCGGAAUCUGCCUGGUUGUGGGGGAUAACGUAGGGAAACUUACGCUAAUACCGCAUGAGACCCUGAGUCGACGGACUGGGGGUGAAAGUGAGGGACCUUCGGCCUCACGCGACCAGAUGAGCCGAUGUCGGAUUAGCUAGUUGGCGGGGUAACGGCCCGCCAAGGCGACGAUCCGUAGCUGGUCUGAGAGGAUGAUCAGCCACACUGGGACUGAGACACGGCCCAGACUCCUACGGGAGGCAGCAGGUGGGGAAUCUUGGACAAUGGGUGCAAGCCUGAUCCAGCCAUGCCGCGUGCAGGAAGAAAG
Molecule: ribosomal RNA, 397 nt
Filed under: uncultured bacterium
Lineage: Bacteria
Description: bacterial SSU rRNA
Rfam family: Bacterial small subunit ribosomal RNA
Source: RNAcentral